RNAcentral lists this ribosomal RNA (253 nucleotides) under uncultured bacterium. RNAcentral's name for it is "partial 16S ribosomal RNA". It matches the Rfam family "Bacterial small subunit ribosomal RNA", at positions 524 to 776 of the family's 1533-position model. The record is from RNAcentral.
UACGUAGGGUGCAAGCGUUAAUCGGAAUUACUGGGCGUAAAGCGUGCGCAGGCGGUGAUGUAAGACCGAUGUGAAAUCCCCGGGCUUAACCUGGGAACUGCAUUGGUGACUGCAUCGCUAGAGUAUGGCAGAGGGGGGUGGAAUUCCACGUGUAGCAGUGAAAUGCGUAGAGAUGUGGAGGAACACCAAUGGCGAAGGCAGCCCCCUGGGCCAAUACUGACGCUCAUGCACGAAAGCGUGGGGAGCAAACAGG